AUUGAUUGUAGUGAUGGCUGUACAACUCUGAUGCAUAUCCCCAAAUGUCGCUGAGGGGGGUCAGAAGCCAGAACUCAUGCAAGAUGACAUGCUUCCAUUGUGACCUCCACAGCUAGGUGGAGCCAACAGUUGUGUGGGGCAGUAGACUUAUCCAACUCACUGGACUCAGAGACAGUGAGAGCUAACAAGCAAGCGUCUCCAGAAUGAAGCACACGAGUUCAAGGGACUCUGCUGUUGCGAAACAGGAGUGGGCGAGUGGGCUGGUGGUGUGCUGAGGGCGUUCUGUGAAGCGGAAGCCUUGUGUAUCCUUUGGAGGAAAGGAGCAUCAUGAGUCAAAGGGAAAUAUUUCAAAUUAAGAGACUAUGAGGAGAAACUAGACAAUUUAAGGAGUCCAUGGGAAGAAAGUCCUCCAGACUGUGCAGUGCUGUGCUUUUGAUCAAUCACAAGAAAGACAAUGGAUUCCAUCUUGGACAGAAAAAGCACCAAAGCACUAACGUCCACAAGGGCAGUGACUUUUCUUUUGUUCUAUUUUGCUGUUGUUGGUUAAUGUUCAAAUUACUGAUUUUUUUUUUUUUUUGGUCUCGGCUUAGAGAAGAAAAUGUCACAAGACCGUCAACUUCUGAUCCUGCUGUUUAUAUUGGCACAGAUGUGUGUAGGGACGCCAUCACCAGCUUAAUUUUUUGUUUUUGGUGACCUUGUGGGGGGGGUCUUCAGUUUCCUCCAGUUGAUAAGCAAGAAAAGAGGAUGAGGAUGAUUAAGGAAGCAGUUUUCUACCCAACCUUCUAAAUGUCCACAUUUCUGUUCAUUUUCCUUUGGCCAGAACUCGGUCGCAGAACCGCAAACCAACUGCAAGAAUGGCUAGAAACUAAAAACUUCUGCAUCUGAGGAUGGGAAAGAGUCUGGAGGGCUUAGUCUGCCACCUGACGUAUUGAUACGCAAUUAAAGAAGAUUUCUUUGUAUCAGACAGGGUUAUAGAGGAUACUUGGUACAAGAUUGUUAUGUGGGCAUCAGAUCAAGGCUAAAGCUUACUCUAUAUUUGAGUCUGCAUUAACUGGACAGCAGUGGAAACCUCUUUGGGCAGAAUGGCACCAGGUCUACAGUGCAGGAAGAACCAGCUUCUAUUUCCUUAGGUCAGAUGCUAAGGGAGUGAUAAUACUUUUAUGAUUGUUUGAUAUUUCCACGACAACAGAGUCUUUCCUGAUAAAUCCCUGGGGUCAUAAAACAGCCAUUUCUUUGCCUAAGCUGCUGUAAGUUGAUAUAAUUCCCCUUGACAUGUUUUAGUUUUCCCACUUAAGGUUAGAUCAACAAUAUAGCUCUUGUUAUGUCCUUACUCUCAGACUCGUUGAGUGUCUAUUAUGAAAACACAGUCCCAGUGGUUUGGGACUUUAGCUUUAAAUAAUAUGGUGGCUUUUACAGAACAAGAAAGCAUCAGUUCAUGAGAAAUUCAUUGGAGAGCAAUAAUUUGUAUGUUCAAUAAAAUGUCCUAAAAUAAUAGCCCACAAUAACACCAGUCUGUUUCCCUUUUGUGUAAUCAACUCCAGGAAAGGGUGGACUAUGUGUGGAUCAAUGCUGAGGGGAAGCUCUCCAGUCUGACUAUCUACGGUUUGGGAUGCCAAGAGAACUGAAGCCUUCGUGCUUUGGUACUAUUGUGGUCUACACAAGGCGGCCAGUGACUCUGACUUCACAAUUUGCUCUAUUAUUUUCCAGCUCAGGUGAUGGUUAAAGCCCAUAAUGGUGGGCCAAAGGCACAGAGGCAGGAACAACUGAAGAGAGCCACUUCUUGAUCUGGGUGCUCUCUUUGGUCAGAGUUACCACUCUGAAGAAUGGGGACUUGUCUGAGACUACUACUCUGUCAGAAGGCCUCAACUCUGGGCCAAGCAUUGGAUCAUGGACAGCAGGAGUGAGAGGCUCAGUGCUCCAGUUCUACGCUAAGAUUUUCUGGCUUGCAAAUCUCUUGGCCUGCACAUUGGGAAGGUCUGUGUGGGUGAGUCUGAAUGACUGGGUGAUUACGUAUUAGCAAGCUCCCUUGAUCAUGGGGCAUAUUAAAAGCCCCAUGGUCAAUAAUAUUGGUGAUAUUUUCAAUUCUGUCUAUGUGACUCCCGAGUAUCUCUCUGAUUUGGUGUUAGCGUUCAUGUGAAGCAGGAAAAAGGUAUUAUUUAUUAGCACUCUAGAACUCCAUCAACUAUGUUCAUUUUGCUGUAUAAAUUUCCUUUGCCUUUAUAGGAGACCGGCUUCCUUGCUUUAUAGUUAUGCCCGAUACGGUAAAAAGUAAGGAGUCACGAGAGAAGAAAUCCUCCUUGGUCCUAUCUUUUUACUUAAUUAACUUUAAAAAUUUCCCUUAAAAAAUAUAGGGGGAAGGUAGCAGGCCCUUUCCUGCUCGCAGAACCAGGUAUGAGCAACUCUACCUGCCUUGUGCAGAAGAGGGCGAUGCUUUUCUCGAAUUGAGAUGAGAACCAAACCACCUUGUUACAUUUAAAAAAUUAUCUCCCUAGUCCCCACCCCACACACCCACCCAACACACACACACAGUGUGAGAGACAGAGAGACAGAGAGACAGAGAACAUUCACUGCACUGAUUUUCACUACUGAGUUUUACGGAUCCUCGGGCUUCUAUUUCCCCAGAGCUGGGAUUGAAGGCAGACACCAUUGCACUUGGCUUUUCUGUGGGUUCUAGGAAACGAACUCAGGUUAUCCUGCUUGUGCAGUGAGCAUUUUGUGGGCUGAGCCAUCUUAUGUUUUAAGCCUGUAAAGGGUGGGAACAUGUUGUCCUAAUGAGUACAUGUUCUUAGGUGAUCACUGCUUGCUGUCUUUGCUCAGUGGGCUGGGGUUGGUGAAAAUCUUCAGUGUGGGAUUUUGCAGAAGGGCGGAAGAAUUGGAGGGCUAACGCCAUACGUGGCUGAGCUCUGGGGUGGUCUGCUUGUCUCCCUGGUCUCUGUGAGUUCUUCUGAUCCUGCAUAAAGAAAACACUCAGUGAACUUGCCUUUGUGGGUAGGGCUGGGAGAACAAGGCCCUCAUUCAGGCUGGGUACUGACCUCUGUUCCCUGGCUGUGAUGUUUGUAUGUGAGAAACAUAUCCACGUCCAUCAAGUUGCACUGGGCUCUGUUGAUUCUAUUUGCAGAAUUUUGCAGCUGAGCUGAGUCUCUGGCUCCCAUAGACACAUAGAGCAGAAGGUUCUUUCAGUUUCCCCCACAGACUCCCAGAUGCUUCUAUCAAGUAUCAGGAUAGCAUCAGUGGCUUCAGCAUCUCUCAGUCCUUUCAGCCAGGGCUGAUCUGAACCAGUACAAAGUAUAGUGCAGCCCAGGCCCAUUUUAACCUGACAGUGGUCUCUUAACCAGGCCUCUUCCUUUGAUGGCCUUGAAAGUUCCUUCUUACCCAGCCCUAACUAAUCUUCACUUGGGCUUUCUAUAACUACCAUUACAGUUUUGCUUCUCUGGCUUCUUCUCUCUCUAGCCAUUGGGCUUGUUUUGUGUAUCAGCGGUUUCUGAUCUCCUUCCUCAUUGU
Molecule: non-coding RNA, 3501 nt
Organism: Rattus norvegicus (Norway rat)
Lineage: Eukaryota; Metazoa; Chordata; Mammalia; Rodentia; Muridae
Source: RefSeq, a predicted model, not a curated record